This 273-nucleotide ribosomal RNA is filed under the name uncultured prokaryote. RNAcentral describes it as "partial 16S ribosomal RNA". It matches the Rfam family "Bacterial small subunit ribosomal RNA", at positions 524 to 796 of the family's 1533-position model. The record is from RNAcentral.
UACGUAGGGUGCGAGCGUUGUCCGGAAUUACUGGGCGUAAAGAGCUCGUAGGCGGUUUGUCACGUCGUCCGUGAAAACUCGGAGCUUAACUCCGAGCUUGCGGGCGAUACGGGCAGACUUGAGUACUACAGGGGAGACUGGAAUUCCUGGUGUAGCGGUGAAAUGCGCAGAUAUCAGGAGGAACACCGGUGGCGAAGGCGGGUCUCUGGGUAGUAACUGACGCUGAGGAGCGAAAGCAUGGGGAGCAAACAGGAUUAGAAACCCUAGUAGUCC